GUGCCAGCCGCCGCGGUAAUACGUAGGUGGCAAGCGUUAUCCGGAAUUAUUGGGCGUAAAGCGCGCGUAGGCGGUUUUUUAAGUCUGAUGUGAAAGCCCACGGCUCAACCGUGGAGGGUCAUUGGAAACUGGAAAACUUGAGUGCAGAAGAGGAAAGUGGAAUUCCAUGUGUAGCGGUGAAAUGCGCAGAGAUAUGGAGGAACACCAGUGGCGAAGGCGACUUUCUGGUCUGUAACUGACGCUGAUGUGCGAAAGCGUGGGGA
Molecule: ribosomal RNA, 263 nt
Filed under: uncultured Staphylococcus sp.
Lineage: Bacteria; Bacillati; Bacillota; Bacilli; Caryophanales; Staphylococcaceae
Description: partial 16S ribosomal RNA
Rfam family: Bacterial small subunit ribosomal RNA
Source: RNAcentral